GAUGAACGCUGGCGGCGUGCCUAAUACAUGCAAGUCGAGCGAACAGACGAGGAGCUUGCUCCUCUGACGUUAGCGGCGGACGGGUGAGUAACACGUGGAUAACCUACCUAUAAGACUGGGAUAAUUUCGGGAAACCGGAGCUAAUACCGGAUAAUAUAUUGAACCGCAUGGUUCAAUAGUGAAAGACGGUUUUGCUGUCACUUAUAGAUGGAUCCGCGCCGCAUUAGCUAGUUGGUAAGGUAACGGCUUACCAAGGCAACGAUGCGUAGCCGACCUGAGAGAGUGAUCGGCCACACUGGAACUGAGACACGGUCCAGACUCCUACGGGAGGCAGCAGUAGGGAAUCUUCCGCAAUGGGCGGAAGCCUGACGGAGCAACGCCGCGUGAGUGAUGAAGGUCUUCGGAUCGUAAAACUCUGUUAUUAGGGAAGAACAAAUGUGUAAGUAACUAUGCACGUCUUGACGGUACCUAAUCAGAAAGCCACGGCUAACUACGUG
RNAcentral lists this ribosomal RNA (497 nucleotides) under uncultured bacterium. RNAcentral describes it as "partial 16S ribosomal RNA". It matches the Rfam family "Bacterial small subunit ribosomal RNA", at positions 28 to 507 of the family's 1533-position model. The record is from RNAcentral.